Molecule: long non-coding RNA, 151 nt
Organism: Amblyraja radiata (thorny skate)
Lineage: Eukaryota; Metazoa; Chordata; Chondrichthyes; Rajiformes; Rajidae
Exons: 4
Source: RefSeq, a predicted model, not a curated record
UCCGGUGAGGUAGAGAAUAGCUCAGCCCCCCUAUCUAGUUGGUGAUAGGAUGGUUCAGUUGCCUGUUAACAGCUGGGAAGAAACUGUCCCAGAAUCUGGAGGUGCACGUUUUCACGCUUCUGGCCCUUUUGCCUGAUGGCAGAGGGUAGAA